CCUACGGGUGGCAGCAGUCGAGAAUCAUUCACAAUGGGGGAAACCCUGAUGGUGCGACGCCGCGUGGGGGAAUGAAGGUCUUCGGAUUGUAAACCCCUGUCAUGUGGGAGCAAAUUAAAAAGAUAGUACCACAAGAGGAAGAGACGGCUAACUCUGUGCCAGCAGCCGCGGUAAUACAGAGGUCUCAAGCGUUGUUCGGAAUCACGGGGCGUAAAGCGUGCGUAGGCUGUUUCGUAAGUCGUGUGUGAAAGGCGCGGGCUCAACCCGCGGACGGCAGAUGAUACUGGGAGACUAGAGUAAGGGAGGGGGAACUGGAAUUCUCGGGGUAGGAGUGAAAUGCGUAGAUAUCGAGAGGAACACUCGUGGCGAAGGCGGGUUCCUGGACAUUAACUGACGCUGAGGCACGAAGGCCAGGGGAGCGAAAGGGAUUAGAUACCCGUGUAGUC
RNAcentral lists this ribosomal RNA (446 nucleotides) under uncultured bacterium. RNAcentral's name for it is "partial 16S ribosomal RNA". It matches the Rfam family "Bacterial small subunit ribosomal RNA", at positions 338 to 795 of the family's 1533-position model. The record is from RNAcentral.